GACGAACGCUGGCGGCAUGCCUAAUACAUGCAAGUCGAGCGGAGUUAUGAUGGAGCUUGCUCCUGAUUAACUUAGCGGCGGACGGGUGAGUGACACGUAGGCGACCUGCCCUCAAGACUGGGAUAACUACCGGAAACGGUAGCUAAUACCGGAUAAUUUCCUUCCUCUCCUGAAGAGAGAAUGAAAGGCGGAGCAAUCUGCUGCUUGGGGAUGGGCCUGCGGCGCAUUAGCUAGUUGGUGGGGUAGCGGCUCACCAAGGCGACGAUGCGUAGCCGACCUGAGAGGGUGAACGGCCACACUGGGGCUGAGACACGGCCCAG
Molecule: ribosomal RNA, 320 nt
Filed under: uncultured bacterium
Lineage: Bacteria
Description: bacterial SSU rRNA
Rfam family: Bacterial small subunit ribosomal RNA
Source: RNAcentral